UGGAUUAGGCAUGCAAGUCGAGCGGAAAGGCCCCUUCGGGGGUACUCGAGCGGCGAACGGGUGAGUAACACGUGAGCAACCUGUCCUCGACUCUGGGAUAAGCCUGGGAAACCGGGUCUAAUACCGGAUAUGACCUGUCUCCGCAUGGGGGCGGGUGGAAAGGUGCCCUUCGGGGUUUUCCGGUCGGGGGUGGGCUCGCGGCCUAUCAGCUUGUUGGUGGGGUAGCGGCCUACCAAGGCGACGACGGGUAGCCGGCCUGAGAGGGCGACCGGCCACACUGGGACUGAGACACGGCCCAGACUCCUACGGGAGGCAGCAGUGGGGAAUAUUGUGCAAUGGGCGAAAGCCUGACGCAGCGACGCCGCGUGGGGGAUGAAGGCCUUCGGGUUGUAAACCUCUUUCGGCAGGGACGAAGUUGACGUGUACCUGCGGAAGAAGCGCCGGCUAACUACGUGCCAGCAGCCGCGGUAAUACGUAGGGCGCGAGCGUUGUCCGGAAUUAUUGGGCGUAAAGAGCUCGUAGGCGGCUGGUCGCGUCUGCCGUGAAAGCCUGCGGCUUAACCGUGGGUCUGCGGUGGAUACGGGCCGGCUUGAGGUAGGCAGGGGCAAGCGGAAUUCCUGGUGUAGCGGUGAAAUGCGCAGAUAUCAGGAGGAACACCGGUGGCGAAGGCGGCUUACUGGGCCUUACCUGACGCUGAGGAGCGAAAGCGUGGGGAGCGAACAGGAUUAGAUACCCUGGUAGUCCACGCCGUAAACGUUGGGCACUAAGUAGAGGGGUUUU
RNAcentral lists this ribosomal RNA (780 nucleotides) under uncultured Planctomycetota bacterium. RNAcentral's name for it is "bacterial SSU rRNA". It matches the Rfam family "Bacterial small subunit ribosomal RNA", at positions 45 to 832 of the family's 1533-position model. Lineage: Bacteria; Pseudomonadati; Planctomycetota. The record is from RNAcentral.